Podarcis lilfordi (Lilford's wall lizard) is the source of this 72-nucleotide non-coding RNA. The record is from the annotation of a GenBank genome assembly. Lineage: Eukaryota; Metazoa; Chordata; Lepidosauria; Squamata; Lacertidae.
UCCUAGCUCAGUCGGUAGAGCAUGAGACUCUUAAUCUCAAGGUUGUGGGUUCGAGUCCCGCAUUGGGCAAAA